UACGUAGGGUGCGAGCGUUGUCCGGAAUUAUUGGGCGUAAAGGGCUCGUAGGCGGUUUGUCGCGUCGGGAGUGAAAUCCACUGGCUUAACUGGUGGCUUGCUUUCGAUACGGGCAGACUGGAGGUAUGCAGGGGAGAACGGAAUUCCUGGUGUAGCGGUGAAAUGCGCAGAUAUCAUGAGGAAUACCAGAGGCGAAGGCGGCUCCCUGGACAAUAGCUGACACUCAGGCACGAAAGCGUGGGGAGCAAAAGGG
This 253-nucleotide ribosomal RNA is filed under the name uncultured bacterium. Its description in RNAcentral is "partial 16S ribosomal RNA". It matches the Rfam family "Bacterial small subunit ribosomal RNA", at positions 524 to 776 of the family's 1533-position model. The record is from RNAcentral.